UGAGGAAUAUUGGUCAAUGGAGGCAACUCUGAACCAGCCAUGCCGCGUGCAGGAUGACUGCCCUAUGGGUUGUAAACUGCUUUUAUGUAGGAAGAAACCUCUCUACGUGUAGAGAGCUGACGGUACUACACGAAUAAGGACCGGCUAACUCC
Molecule: ribosomal RNA, 152 nt
Filed under: uncultured Bacteroidota bacterium
Lineage: Bacteria; Pseudomonadati; Bacteroidota
Description: uncultured Bacteroidetes bacterium partial 16S ribosomal RNA
Rfam family: Bacterial small subunit ribosomal RNA
Source: RNAcentral